RNA transcript from Triticum aestivum (bread wheat), 2435 nucleotides. RefSeq lists it as uncharacterized. NCBI's taxonomy places the organism in Eukaryota, Viridiplantae, Streptophyta, Magnoliopsida, Poales, Poaceae. The record is from RefSeq and is a predicted model, not a curated record. The transcript is spliced from 3 exons.
AGAUCAGACACCUCGCUCGUUCUGUUUCCCCAAAUCCCCACACCCCACUCUUCACUCCCGUGGUAAGCUAGGGUUCUCCUCGUCCCCCGGCGGCAGGAUGGGCGGCGGCGCGGCGGGCCACGGCCAGGCCAGCGCUGCCCCUCCCAUGGAUCCGGCCGUCCUUGAGCACCGGCGCGAGCCCCGUGCUCGUGUGCUUCCGCCGCGACGCGGCCUGCAGGAGACGGCAACGCUGCCGAUCCCCGACGAGCUCGUGGCGGAGAUCUUCCUCCUGCUGCCCCCAACAGAUCUGGUCCGCGCCUCCGCCGCCUGCGCCUCGUUCUACCGUCUCGUCGCCAGCCGCUCCUUCCUCCGGCGCUUCCGCAAGCUCCACCCCCCGCCCCUCCUCGGCUUCCUCGAUGACCGAGUCUUCCACCCCGUAACCCCGCCUUAUCCAUCCGCGUCCGCAGCCAACGCCGUCGCCCUCGCCGCCGACUUCUCCUUUUCCUUCCUACCCGGCCCCGCCCGUGACUGGGAGGUCCUGGACGUCCGCGACGGCCGCGUCCUCCUUAAGAGGCCCGGCCGGCAGCACCCCGAAAUGGUGGUGUGUGACCCCUUGUACCGGCGGUACCUCCUGCUUCCCCUGUUCCCCGACGACCUAGCCGCUUCAUUGGAGGGCCCAUCCGCGAUAAAAUGGCGUGAAUCCUUCCUCGUCCCAGCCGGCGACGAGGAGGCAGCAACUGCGGAAGAGACGUCAUUCAGAGUUAUCUGGAUGGCGCAGUGCAAAUUCAGACUGUUCACCUUUGUCUUCUCCUCUCGCACUGGACAAUGGGGAGCUGUUCCAUCCCCGAGUUGGAGUGAUUUAUUUGCUGGCUUGCCAAGUUUGGAGAUGGCUACACCUCUCAACACACGCCAAUAUGCGUAUGGCUGCUUUUACUGGAUGGCGGGUUACAUGGCAGAAGCUAAAAUGCUGGUGCUCGACACCUGGAGGAUGGAGUUCUCCGUUGCUGAAUCCCCACCUGAUGGUUUCGCUAUGGCCAUGGUGGAGGCCGGGGAAGGCAGGGCUGGGGUGUUCGUGCAUGCUCAUGUGGGAUCCAAGUUCAGUUAUAGCAUUAGGCAAAAUGAUGGUGGGAGUUUGAGCCAGUGGCAGGAGAAGAAAACAGUAUCAUUGGGUUAUGGAUACUACAUCAUGGGUUCAACGGAGAGGUACUUGUUCUUGUAUCAGCUGCAGAGCCCAUUGCCUAAUCCAGGCGUUUUCACGCUGGAUGUCCAAACAUUCCAGCUCGAGAGAGUGUGUGGUCAACACUUGGGCCACGCAUAUAGUAACUUCCCACCAUCGUUGUUGUUGUCACCGACAGUAUGAAACGAGGACGGCAAGCCUUCCUUGGUGACGACCAGGGGGCCACAGAAGAGACAUCCUUCAUAGUGAUCUCGAUUGUAAGGCGCGGAAAUAAGCAGGGGGCUUUUGUCUUCUCUUCCGCCACCGGACAAUGGCGAGCUAGUAUAUGGACUGCAGAGUUUGGUUUCUUCUUCAGGCUUUGGCACACCAAUGGCUGCUUCUAUGGGGUGACAAAAUGCAUGAAAAAGUUGCUAGCACUUGACACCCAGAGGAUGGAGUUCUCACUUUCUGACCUCCCACCCGAAGCCGGAGAUUUUUUGCAACAACCCAUAUGUCCUUGCAGACAAUACAUGAAUAUAGCCAUUGUGGAGGCAGGGGAAGGCAUCACUGGGAUGUUUGUGCUUCUAAAUGGCACAUCUAACAUCAGUUAUCUAAUUAGGCGAAACAAUGGUGGGAGUUCCAACCAGUGGCAGUUGAAGAAGACAAUCCCACUGGAUUCUUCUAGCUACAUUUUCACGAGUUCAACAGGGAGGUACUUGGUUCUAUUACAUUGGGGAAGAGAAGACAGGGACACUUUCACGUUGGAUAUCAAAACAUUCCAACUUGAGAAGGUGUUCACUGGUUUCGGUUCGCAGUAUGUAUAUAGAAACUUCCCACCGUCAUUGUUGUCGUCACCGACAAUAUCAUGUGGUGUUGAGAAUGAGGCCGAGGAGACGCUGGAACAAGGUUGCACUGCAAGCUCAAGCGCAUAGUCUCCAGGGUUAGAAUACGCUGAGAUGAAUGCAAGAGGUCAGGCUGAUUUGUUGAUGAUAACAUGGUGGCGAGGUUGUUAUGCAACUUGAUAAUUGACCACUAAGUUUGGUCUGCUUUUGCCCUUUGGUCUGUAAUAUGGACAUCCGGAAGGAUAAAAUAGAACCUGGAGUAUUUUAUCUUGCGCUCGUUGGCCUGGCAGUGAUUGAUGUGUUUGUUUGUCGGAUAAGGUAGCGAGAGCAGUAACGAAAGUUCAGUUUCUCUGGGUCAUUAGAUUAACUAAGGCCCUGUAAGAAGUGAAAGUACGAUUAUGUUUUCUUAGGAUUCAUGUAUUCUUGUUUGCAAUCAUUUUUAUCUGGCUUUUUAUCAA